This 430-nucleotide ribosomal RNA is filed under the name uncultured prokaryote. RNAcentral describes it as "bacterial SSU rRNA". It matches the Rfam family "Bacterial small subunit ribosomal RNA", at positions 355 to 776 of the family's 1533-position model. The record is from RNAcentral. RNAcentral also lists the same sequence under 1 other name.
UGGGGAAUAUUGGACAAUGGGGGGAACCCUGAUCCAGCCAUGCCGCGUGUGUGAAGAAGGCCUUUUGGUUGUAAAGCACUUUAAGCGAGGAGGAGGCUCCCUAGAUUAAUACUCUAGGUGAGUGGACGUUACUCGCAGAAUAAGCACCGGCUAACUCUGUGCCAGCAGCCGCGGUAAUACAGAGGGUGCGAGCGUUAAUCGGAUUUACUGGGCGUAAAGCGUGCGUAGGUGGUCUUUUAAGUCGGAUGUGAAAUCCCUGAGCUUAACUUAGGAAUUGCAUUCGAUACUGGGAGACUAGAGUAUGGGAGAGGAUGGUAGAAUUCCAGGUGUAGCGGUGAAAUGCGUAGAGAUCUGGAGGAAUACCGAUGGCGAAGGCAGCCAUCUGGCCUAAUACUGACACUGAGGCACGAAAGCAUGGGGAGCAAACAGG